UAGUCUCGCACAGAUGCAUAUCAAUAAGCGGAGGAAAAGAAACUAACAAGGAUUCCCCUAGUAACGGCGAGUGAAGCGGGAAGAGCUCAAAUUUGAAAUCUUAAAGGGUUUCCCUUUACGAAUUGUAGUUUAAAGAAGUGUUUUCUGUUGAGGUUUUGGUAAAAGUUCUUUGGAAUAGGACAUCAUAGAGGGUGAGAAUCCCGUAUUUGACCUUUACUUUCAACUUUGUGAUACACUUUCAAAGAGUCGGAUUGUUUGGGAAUGCAGUCCAAAAUGGGUGGUAAAUUUCAUCUAAAGCUAAAUAUUGGCGAGAGACCGAUAGCGAACAAGUACCGUGAGGGAAAGAUGAAAAGAACUUUGAAAAGAGAGUUAAACAGUACGUGAAAUUGUCAAAAGGGAAGCGUUUGACACCAGUGUUGUUUUUCUGAAAAUCAAUUAAAGAACUGUUUAUGCUAAGCUGUUUAGACUUUAUCAGCUAACUGUUUAGUUUUGAGCUUUUCUUUAAUGCACUUUUCAGUUAACAAGUCAACAUCAAUUUCUUUUGCUGUAAAAAAGCUUGAGGAAGGUGGCUUGAGAUUCGUCUUAAGUGUUUAUAGCCUCUUGCCUAUGCAGUCGGAGAGAUUGAGGUCUGCAGCGUAGAUCCUUCGGGGCUAAAUGCAUUUGUGCUAAGUUAUAGCAUUUUAUAGACAACUUGUUGACUAUGAUUUGUCUUGUAGCUUACUCGCUUAUGUUAUUUUACCUACGCUUAGGAUGUUGAAGACUCUACAGAGAUA
RNAcentral lists this ribosomal RNA (773 nucleotides) under uncultured Neocallimastigales. Its description in RNAcentral is "partial large subunit ribosomal RNA". It matches the Rfam family "Eukaryotic large subunit ribosomal RNA", at positions 24 to 633 of the family's 3401-position model. Lineage: Eukaryota; Fungi; Neocallimastigomycota; Neocallimastigomycetes; Neocallimastigales. The record is from RNAcentral.